GUCUUCCUCGAUCCCGUGGUGCUCCGCGGCGCGGCCUUGCUCUCUUCCGGUCGCGGGACACCGGGCGUAGAGGGCGGUCGCGGCGGGCAGUGGCGGCAGAAUGUUGGCUACCAGGGUAUUUAGCCUAGUUGGCAAGCGAGCAAUUUCCACCUCUGUGUGUGUACGAGCACAUGUGUUGUGAAGAGCGAAGACUUUUCGCUCUCAGCUUAUGUGGAUCGGCGUGACCACCCCUUGCCGGAGGUGGCCCAUGUCAAGCACCUGUCUGCCAGCCAGAAGGCCUUGAAGGAGAAGGAGAAGGCCUCCUGGAGCAGCCUCUCCAUGGAUGAGAAAGUCGAGUGUGGGUAUUGAAGGGACCCACAGGCGCGCCCAGCAGCUCUUGGAAGUGUGUGUGUGUGUGUGUGUGUGUGUGUGUGUGUGUGUGUGUGUGUGUGCGUGCCUCUGCUCACUUCUGGGCCUACUGUCUAGAGAGCAGUCUUGCACAGGAGGGUUGCUGUGCUGGGUUUCGGGGUCACUGUCCCAGGGCCCCAGUUUAUGUGCUCACCAGUCACUUAGCUCUGCCAGCUGACAGAAUCUUUUGCUAGGCCCCCUUCUCUGUGCU
Molecule: small RNA, 598 nt
Filed under: Pongo abelii (Sumatran orangutan)
Lineage: Eukaryota; Metazoa; Chordata; Mammalia; Primates; Hominidae
Description: retained intron
Source: RNAcentral